GACGAACGCUGGCGGCGUGCUUAACACAUGCAAGUCGAACGGAAAGGCCCUGCUUUUGUGGGGUGCUCGAGUGGCGAACGGGUGAGUAACACGUGAGUAACCUGCCCUUGACUUUGGGAUAACUUCAGGAAACUGGGGCUAAUACCGGAUAGGAGCUCCUGCUGCAUGGUGGGGGUUGGAAAGUUUCGGCGGUUGGGGAUGGACUCGCGGCUGAUCAGCUUGUUGGUGGGGUAGUGGCUUACCAAGGCUUUGACGGGUAGCCGGCCUGAGAGGGUGACCGGCCACAUUGGGACUGAGAUACGGCCCAGACUCCUACGGGAGGCAGCAGUGGGGAAUAUUGCACAAUGGGCGGAAGCCUGAUGCAGCAACGUCGCGUGCGGGAUGACGGCCUUCGGGUUGUAAACCGCUUUCGCCUAAGACGAAGCGUGAGUGACGGUAAUGGGUAAAGAAGCACCGGCUAACUACGUG
This 468-nucleotide ribosomal RNA is filed under the name uncultured bacterium. RNAcentral describes it as "partial 16S ribosomal RNA". It matches the Rfam family "Bacterial small subunit ribosomal RNA", at positions 28 to 507 of the family's 1533-position model. The record is from RNAcentral.